UGGGGAAUAUUGCACAAUGGACGAAAGUCUGAUGCAGCGACGCCGCGUGAGGGAUGAAGGUCUUCGGAUCGUAAACCUCUGUCAGUUGGGAAGAAACAGUAGCGUGCUAAUCAGCGCUACCUUGACGGUACCAACAAAGGAAGGACCGGCUAACUCCGUGCCAGCAGCCGCGGUAAUACGGAGGGUCCAAGCGUUAAUCGGAAUUACUGGGCGUAAAGCGCUCGUAGGCGGUAUAGCAAGUCAAUGGUGAAAGCCCCGUGCUCAACAUGGGAACUGCCUUUGAAACUGCUAAACUAGAGUAUGUGAGAGGGUGGCGGAAUUCCAGGUGUAGGAGUGAAAUCCGUAGAUAUCUGGAGGAACAUCAGUGGCGAAGGCGGCCA
This 380-nucleotide ribosomal RNA is filed under the name uncultured bacterium. RNAcentral describes it as "bacterial SSU rRNA". It matches the Rfam family "Bacterial small subunit ribosomal RNA", at positions 355 to 727 of the family's 1533-position model. The record is from RNAcentral.